This 219-nucleotide unclassified non-coding RNA is filed under the name Ophiorrhiza hayatana. RNAcentral's name for it is "ITS1". Lineage: Eukaryota; Viridiplantae; Streptophyta; Magnoliopsida; Gentianales; Rubiaceae. The record is from RNAcentral.
UCGAAUCCUGCAAAGCAGAUGACCGCGAACUUGUACAACCCUCGAGAGUCGGGAGGGGCGAGAAAUCGCUUUUUUCGAUUCUCACCGCAUCCUAUUUGGCUUGCGAAACGAACUAAACCCCGGCGCGGAAAGCGCCAAGGAAAACUUGAACUGAUUGCCUGUGCCUCGUUGCCCCGUUCGCGGUGUGCUCGCGAGGUGCGAUGGCGUCUAAACGUAACC